Long non-coding RNA from Hemicordylus capensis (graceful crag lizard), 939 nucleotides. RefSeq lists it as uncharacterized. The transcript has 4 exons. Lineage: Eukaryota; Metazoa; Chordata; Lepidosauria; Squamata; Cordylidae. The record is from RefSeq and is a predicted model, not a curated record.
ACAUACACACACUUUUUGUUACCACUAUUCAGCUUCAUUUAAGAUUUCUUUAGUUCAUGAGCUGAGCUUCAGUGAGGGCCCAUUUUAAAAUCUGGUCUCUGGGCCCACUCCAGCCUACGCCCCUGAUACAACCCCACUGGGUUCAGCAAAACUGGCAAAAGAGAUGUAACAUGCGUAACCCCUGCAGGAUCAGUUAACGGGGUCUGGCAGGAGUUAAGAAACAGAGUUGGAAACAAAAUGCUGUAGGGAGAUAUAAGAGAAGAGAAGAUUCUGAGGGGAGAAGGGAAUAAGGAGGGAAUACUACGGCAAUACAAUAGGAAAAAGCAUACAGCUGAUACAAUAGGCCAAACAAAGGUGUCUCAAAAAUCUUAAAUGUAUAUGUGGCCAAGUGACAGCAUUCAUUAAAAGCAGAUGGAAUGUCUGGGUGCUAAUGGCAGCUGGUUGUCAGAAAGCAGCAGAUAAAUUCAAGCCUUCAUUCUGGAUUAAGCUGCAUAGAUGUGACAGUUGCUAUUUUCCCCAAUCAGCUCAGGACAGUCUACUUUGAUUGGCAGAACCUCUCAAAGCUCUUAUUCAAGCUCCUUUUUCACUAGACAUGCUGAGGACUGAACCUGGGACCUUCUGCACUCAAGCUUUCACUAAACACACCAUUGACAUAUCCACAAUAGCACUCCAUUUCCUUUUCUACUUUUGGAAGACUCGGAAGCAAACACUGAAAGCUGGAUUUUGACCAAAGAAAUACUUAGUAGAAGUAUUUUGUGCAUGGAAUCAAUCUCACUGAAUAUUAUACUCUGGAAUGAGUCUAACAGACUGAACAUUCCAACGUCCUGAAAGGCAUCUUCAGUGGGAUUUUUAAAAGGUACAUUUUGUAACUGAGCUUACCAAGAGAGAUAAAAAAUACUUGUAAUGUCUUUAAUGAUGUAUAAAUAUAUUAAAAUACAG